RNAcentral lists this ribosomal RNA (502 nucleotides) under uncultured bacterium. RNAcentral's name for it is "partial 16S ribosomal RNA". It matches the Rfam family "Bacterial small subunit ribosomal RNA", at positions 28 to 523 of the family's 1533-position model. The record is from RNAcentral.
GAUGAACGCUAGCGGCAGGCCUAACACAUGCAAGUCGAGGGGUAGCAGGAUUAAGCUUGCUUAAUUGCUGACGACCGGCGCACGGGUGCGUAACGCGUAUGCAACCUACCUUAUACUGGGGUAUAGCCCGGAGAAAUUCGGAUUAAUCCCCCAUAGUACUAAUGAAUCGCAUGGUUUAUUAGUUAAAGCAUUGCGGUAUAAUAUGGGCAUGCGUCCUAUUAGCUAGAUGGUGAGGUAACGGCUCACCAUGGCUACGAUAGGUAGGGGGCCUGAGAGGGUGGUCCCCCACACUGGUACUGAGACACGGACCAGACUCCUACGGGGGCAGCAGUGAGGAAUAUUGGUCAAUGGGCGCAAGCCUGAACCAGCCAUGCCGCGUGCAGGAAGAAUGCCCUAUGGGUUGUAAACUGCUUUUAUUUGGGAAUAAACCUCUUUACGUGUAGAGAGCUGAAGGUACCAAAUGAAUAAGCACCGGCUAACUCCGUGCCAGCAGCCGCCGCCG